CAGAGUAGGCAGUUCGGCGUUAAGUGCCGUAUAAACGGGGAGUUGUUAUACGGACGAAGCGGUUUCGCGCGGUCGAAUUGUCGCAUCCCGCUG
Molecule: non-coding RNA, 93 nt
Filed under: bovine gut metagenome
Description: THF riboswitch
Rfam family: THF (Tetrahydrofolate) riboswitch aptamer
About the family: THF riboswitch presents a pseudoknot that joins P1-P2 and the loop of P3 and two THF binding.
Source: RNAcentral